GCGGCGGGGUGCUGCACGUGGUCGGCAGGUCCGACCUGCCCCGGCGGGGCGCGCGGCCCGGUCGGUUCAGCCCGACCCGGCUCUG
This 85-nucleotide transfer RNA is filed under the name Micromonospora sp. MH33. RNAcentral's name for it is "tRNA-Gly". Lineage: Bacteria; Bacillati; Actinomycetota; Actinomycetes; Micromonosporales; Micromonosporaceae. The record is from RNAcentral.